Molecule: ribosomal RNA, 503 nt
Filed under: uncultured bacterium
Lineage: Bacteria
Description: partial 16S ribosomal RNA
Rfam family: Bacterial small subunit ribosomal RNA
Source: RNAcentral
AUUGAACGCUGGCGGCAGGCUUAACACAUGCAAGUCGAGCGGGGGAAGGCGCUUCGGUACUGACCUUAGCGGCGGACGGGUGAGUAAUGCUUAGGAAUCUGCCUAUUAGUGGCGGACAACAUCUCGAAAGGGAUGCUAAUACCGCAUACGUCCUACGGGAGAAAGCAGGGGAUCACUUGUGACCUUGCGCUAAUAGAUGAGCUUAAGUCGGAUUAGCUAGUUGGUGGGGUAAAGGCCUAACAAGGCGACGAUCCGUAGCGGGUCUGAGAGGAUGAUCCGCCACACUGGGACUGAGACACGGCCCAGACUCCUACGGGAGGCAGCAGUGGGGAAUAUUGGACAAUGGGGGGAACCCUGAUCCAGCCAUGCCGCGUGUGUGAAGAAGGCCUUAUGGUUGUAAAGCACUUUAAGCGAGGAGGAGGCUCUUUUGGUUAAUACCCAAGAUGAGUGGACGUUACUCGCAGAAUAAGCACCGGCUAACUCUGUGCCAGCAGCCGCAGUAA